GUGGGGAAUAUUAGGCAAUGGGCGAAAGCCUGACCUAGCAACGCCGCGUGAAGGAAGAAGGCCUUCGGGUUGUAAACUUCUUUUAUGAGGGACGAAGGACGUGACGGUACCUCAUGAAUAAGCCACGGCUAACUACGUGCCAGCAGCCGCGGUAAUACGUAGGUGGCGAGCGUUGUCCGGAUUUACUGGGUGUAAAGGGCGCGUAGGCGGACUGGCAAGUCAGAUGUGAAAUACAGGGGCUCAACCCCUGAACUGCAUUUGAAACUGUUGGUCUUGAGUAUCGGGGAGGCAAGCGGAAUUCCUAGUGUAGCGGUGAAAUGCGUAGAUAUUAGGAGGAACACCAGUGGCGAAGGCGGCUUGCUGGACGACAACUGACGCUGAGGCGCGAAAGCGUGGGGAGCAAACAGGAUUAGAAACCCGGGUAGUCC
This 428-nucleotide ribosomal RNA is filed under the name uncultured bacterium. RNAcentral describes it as "partial 16S ribosomal RNA". It matches the Rfam family "Bacterial small subunit ribosomal RNA", at positions 354 to 796 of the family's 1533-position model. The record is from RNAcentral.